AUUGAGAAGUAUGGCAGGGAGGCCUUGACUGACAGGGUUUCAAGAAAAGAGCCUGCAAAAUUAUUUUGGAGCAAAGCAUUUUAGUCUUCUCUAUAAGGCCAGUAUCCAUGGAUUCUCUGAAGAAAACGUUUUAGAGAUGCUACACCUAAGGACCAACUAUAACAGUGGUAUACAAUACAAUCAUGUUACUGGCAUCUACAUGUAAGAGAGUUACCAGCAAGAGAAGGCAGAGUACGUCAUGGUCUUUGCACUUCAAGAGACUGAAAUCUCCACGUGUAAAACAGGAUUACACUUACCAUUUGAAUUGUUUUUGGACUUUAAGACAAGAUUUCUGUUUUUACUUGAAUUCAUGCUAGAUCUACACCACAAAAAUGUGCCUGUGAGCACUAAUAAAUGUGAAAAACUUCAAAUUUCUGGGGUUUAUAGUGGUUCCAUUCAAGAGUGUGAAGUUUUUCAUUGUGAAGGUAGAUUUCCCAGAAUCAGAUAAUGCUACAGAGAGUGCUUCCCUGAAUGUUUGCUGGCUUUGAGCUAAACCAUCUCUUCUCAGGAAAAGUGACUUUUUUCUUCACCUUAUCUCUGGAUAGAUGGCCCACAUUGAAACCUGACCUCAAAUUGUCUGCUUCAUUGAGAAAUCCUGGGCCAGUGUCUCUCUAAGGACCUUGAGAUCUGCCUGUAUACAGGAGACAGAUCUUGAAGGCUGUGUAGAGGAGACUGAGCCUUCAACUGACCAAUCUGAGUUACAACUAGCCCUUGGGAACAAAUUGAGUUCGCAUGGUCCAUGUGGCUUUGUCAUUCAUGUGGAUAUUGACUGGGUAUACAGAACGACCCUCUACACAUAUACAGCUGUAAACCUGUGAUGCUCAAGCUACAGGCAGUCCAUAGAACACUUGGAAUUUGCUUUUUCUGACAUUUUUGUAGUCAGCAAUUAUGUCUCAGAGCGGGCACCGGAUCCUGAAAAAGACAUUCUGACUCUCUCUGCUGCGAGACAGACACUGUGGGCUGCAGAUGACUUUGAAGAGGGCUCCGCCACUCAAUACCAGCCUGAAGAAUAAUUGAAUUAUCAAGUGUGCAAAAGAAGAAAAUAAAUAUGUGAACUCUCAACAUAUUAAUUUUUGUCUCACCAUAGAACAAUGAAACAGAGAAAGGAGAAAACACUGGAAGAGAAUUGGCUAAGAUUACAGGGAUAUAUUUUAUUUAUGUCAAGGAUGAAGAUGCAUAUACAAAAGCACACUAUUUCUAACACCCAGGAACAACAUGAUUUGCAUAGAUCCUUACAUGAAAUUUCAGGAAGAAAUGGACCUCAUUUAUUGGACUACUGCAAAGAUGAAUUGGCCACAGAAGACAGUAAAUCUCAUUUUGGAAAAGUUAUCCUUACUAUUGAAGGCUUCUAUCAAUAUCUAUAAAACAAGAAAGUAAUUUUGAAUAAAGAAGGAAUAAAAUAGUGGAAAAAUAAUAUAAAAACACUUGUAUAUUCAUGUUAAAAAUACUCUGCAGAGAGAAUUCCAACUCCUUACAUAUUGAUGUAGAUCUCGGUGGUCUUCAGUGUUUUAGUGUUUCUGUUUCUGUGUAUCAAGUAUUCUUGAAAUUGCUUUAAUAAGAAUUAUAUUACCCCAGGGAUAGGUAGAAAUUAUAUAUUGACAAGUUCAGCAUGGGAAAUGUUCCUUCCACUAAUUUUAGAAUCUAUAGAGGAAUUACCCAUUGGUCAAUUUUCUUAGAGAAGGAUACAGAAUUCAAAAUAAGCGAGAAUUUUCUCAGGAGACUUGAAGCAGACCAGUUACAUGUUGUUGGUAAUGAGGAAACAGAAUUGCUGAGAUGUAAUAAGCUCAGAGUUUGAGGGUGAUGGGGACAGAGGAGGCACAUGACUAGCUGUGUGUUAAAGAUAAAGGCCUUCUGGAGAAGAUGGCUUCCUUGUCUAAGGUUAUCCACAGAUACUCAGUCUUAUCUGUCAUGACUAUACACAUCCUGAAUGUGACAAAAAUAAACAAAGCAAACAAACAAAGCAGUCACUAAGCAAGUUCUCAUUGACUGAGCAUCAUGUUCUGUGCUCUAAUGCAAUCUUGCUCCAUGCCUCAACACAGCAAACUCAGCAUCUUCUUAUGAGCUUAUCAAGGUUCAAGCAAUCACUAUUGCACAACACCAGAAAAAACUGGAACACUGUUGUAUGCUUUAUAGCCUGAGGUUAUUUCAUAAUGUUAAUGGGUAAGUCUAUAACUUUUUUGUGGGCCAACUAACUGUUGUAUCAAGCUUUUUGUCUUUUACUGGUUUAGGUAGUAGUCCAUCCGGAAUUGACUUUUGUUUAUAGUGUGAAGAAGGAAUUCAGGAAAGAUGUGAGGUAUUUAGAUAUCAUUUUCAUUUGACUAAUUUUGAAGAGUAAUAAACAUUCUAGGAUAGGAUUAUACUGUAGUUCAAUUUUCAUAUAUGAUUUAAAAAUAAGAAGCAACAUCACGAAGAAGUUAUUUUUAUCCUAAAAUUUACAUAGUAGUGUAAAGGAUUAAAGCUAACCAAGACAUUCUUGAAGAACAAUAAAGUAGAAAAAUAGACAUGUAUCAGAGAC
This is a long non-coding RNA of Heterocephalus glaber (naked mole-rat), 2554 nucleotides long. NCBI's taxonomy places the organism in Eukaryota, Metazoa, Chordata, Mammalia, Rodentia, Bathyergidae. The record is from Ensembl.